This 253-nucleotide ribosomal RNA is filed under the name uncultured bacterium. RNAcentral describes it as "partial 16S ribosomal RNA". It matches the Rfam family "Bacterial small subunit ribosomal RNA", at positions 524 to 776 of the family's 1533-position model. The record is from RNAcentral.
UACGUAGGGUGCAAGCGUUAAUCGGAAUUACUGGGCGUACAGCGUGCGCAGGCGGUUUUGUAAGUCUGACGUGAAAUCCCCGGGCUCAACCUGGGAAUUGCGUUGGAGACUGCAAGGCUAGAAUCUGGCAGAGGGGGGUAGAAUUCCACGUGUAGCAGUGAAAUGCGUAGAGAUGUGGAGGAACACCGAUGGCGAAGGCAGCCCCCUGGGUCAAGAUUGACGCUCAUGCACGAAAGCGUGGGGAGCAAACAGG